GGAGAUUUUUUAGGGAACAUUGGAGAGAGCAGGGAGAGAGUCUUCUAGACCGAAAGAAAUAGAGAGAAAGGAAGGAAAGAAAUAGAAAGCAGGGAAGGAAAGAAAUUCAGCCAGCUUAACCUUUCCCUAGCCUAAAUUUUUAGUUGUUCUCUCUCUAAAAUCCCUUAUUUAGCCCACCUUUUUCUAUACCAUAGUUGAAUUGCUUAUUUUCUCACCGAAAAAAAGAAAAUGCGAAUCAAGCAACCAAAAUGAGUGUCACCCACUGUUGUCCUUCAUUACUAGAGGGUUUAGAGGUGAAGAUAAAUCAAAGAAUUGGGAGAAACAAAACCUACAACUUCAACUUUGAUUAAAUUUUCACCGUAUGGAGGCUGUCAUUGAGUUCACUUGAGCAUCUUCUUUUUCAUCACAAUCAUUAUCUAAUCGAUUUGAUGUUAAGCCAAGCUCACAUACUAGAAGUAAUUGGGUUACUUUUCUUUCUUGUUAGUUUCCCCAUUUUGAUUUAAUCAUACCUUUGGUUGUUUGUCAUUUCUGCUCAUCUAUUUAAAUUUAUUUGGCUAUACAAGGGUUGAAUUUUUCUUUAAGUGUUAUGGUUGAAGGGGUGUUAGUUUCUUAGGUUUGGGUAUUUUGGGGUUCUUCCUGUUGGAAAUUGGUUAGCUUAGGAAACUUUCUCUCCUUCCCCUGUCUUUUAUUCAUCUCAUCAAUAUAUUGCUGCUUAGUAAAACAAAAUCAUCAAAUGUGUUAAUCAUGGAAGAAUGAAACAAUUAAUUAGUAAUUAGGAAAUUGAAAGGUCUAGUUACAUGUUCUCUAUCCAAAGGAUAUUAAACUAAGGGCAUAACUAAAAUAGCCAGGGUGUAGGCUCCAUCAAGUAGAGCUUCUAAUUUUUUAGAGUCUCAAGUAAUUUAUGAUUGAAGAAUGUGAUUUGUUUUCCCAUUCCUAUCCUUAAACACAGCAACUAGAUCAGGCAUAGGGCAGAACUUGAACCAUAGGAGUGGAUUUUUGAAAUUAACAAGUUAACCCUACAUUUGAGAGUGUUGAUGAAAAAAAAAUUAUUAUAUAUUAGCUUUUUUUUUUUUUUUAGUAGCUGCAUACUUGGUUAAUUUCUUUCUCCAAUUCAUUCGGUUUUGUGUCUUUAGAGAACCUUCGUAAUUAAAUAUUUCAUCAACUUUAAUGUUUAUCGCUUUGCUAAGCUUAUUUAGGGAACUAGUGUCUUCUACUAAUGCCUUGCUUGUUUAUGAAUUUAUUUGAACUAUGUUUGCUAAAAAUAGGUAGAGCUGAUGUAUGAAAAUAUGACAGUAAUUCAAAUCAUAUUGUUAUUAUUAUUAUUAUUAUUAUUAUUAUUAUUAUAGAAAAUACAAUGAGUUAGAGGAUGGAUUUUAUUAUUAUUAUUAUUAUUAUUAUUAUUAUUAUUAUUAUUAUUAUUAUUAUUAUUAUUAUUAUUGUGCGUGGAGACUUCAUGGAUGGGCAUCUGUCUUAAUUGAAUUGCUUAUGGAUAAAAUCAUGUUGAAAUUUGUAUUCGAACAAAGGAAAAUGUUGAGUUUUAAAGGGAGAUGCUGUCAAAUUUUUCUAUAUGAAUUUGGAAAUAGUUAAAAGUUUUGUAGUAAAAUUUAUAGCUAGAAAGUACAAUUUAAAAGUAUUAAUUAUAAAUAAUUUAAGAGCUACGUGGAUUUGAUCCUCCAUAGUGCCAAGGGGUUAGAAAGUUUGAGUAGUAAUAUGUAAAUUUCAGGGACUAAAGGAGAUAUUUUGUAAUUAUUUUCUAUUUAUGCAAUUUUGAGGUGUGAUGGCUCAAGUAUAGUGAUAUCUCCUCUUGUCACACCUCAUUGUGUUUCUAAUGCUCUUUAGGGGGGAGUGACUAGUUGACCAGUGCUGGGCUCAAUAGUUACUAGUUGGUGAGUCCCUAUUCCUUCACUCCUUGUAGGUUUCCCCUCUGCCUACAAGUGAUGUAAGGAAUCCUUAUUUCAUUGUAUUGAUUAUGCUAUUUGAAUGAAAUAAGUAGCCCAUUCUUGAUAUAUAUGUGCCUCGUUGUUUAUGAGGCUUGAGAUGCCUGUGCAUAUAUAUUAUUGCCCCCUUUGCUUGAUGUGUUUGUUGUGCUUGUGAUGUUUGCUUAUAUGAGAUGUUUGGAGAGUUUCCCUCAAUUGGCUUGCUAAAGCCCCAUUAUAGUGAAAUGCCCUUUUAAUGUUCAGAUUAUUAUGAGAAUCUCCUGGCUAACUUGUCUUGAAAGAGCUCAAGCCAAGUGCCACACGGUCCCAAGUGAGUGCUAAAACUUGGGCCCGUGACACAUAGGAGGUACGUAGGCAGCCUUUGAAUGCAGUCCAAAGAGGGUAAACUUUGUUUUCUUAUUUAUAUUUUUUUGUUUUGAAUUUCUUUUAUCAUUCAUCUUUUAUGGGUUAUGUUUAGACAGACAAUCAACUUUUGAAUUUUUGUUUGCUAGUAAUAUUGAGGAUUAUAAUAUAAUGCCACUACUGAAUAAAUAUCCUUAAUUGGGUUUUUUCUGAAAUUACAAGCUUUGUACUUGAUUUUAAUUGUUGGUUUCUUAGGCAAACGAUGUUAUAUUCACUUGGACACUUUUACAUUUUACAUAGAUUGAAUAUAUUAGAAAAAAGAAAAUUUAUGUCUUUAGUAGCUAUUAUAUUCAAUUAGUCCUUUCUUCAAAGAAAAUUUGUCACUUUAGUUACAGUUUACCAUGUUCUACUAGUUAGAGGAUAGGGUGUGACACCCACAAUGACAAACGUGACAAUCUCCUGCACUCCCUUGGUUUUUUGAAUCCUCGAGGCCAUUGAUCUAUUCUCCUCCACUCCCACAGACAAAGACCUACGGACUACUUGUGUCUUGCCUCGCAUGCAUGCUCUUUUCUCCCUUGGCCCUCAUUCACUUGUGUCUCGAUUGUAGCAUUUCCUGAUCUGGGGUGGGGUAUGAUUGAAGCUUGCUGGAAUGUUGGUCUGCUCGUUGACGACUUGGUGGUGGAAUGGAAAUAAGGGUUUUUAGAAAUGCCAGGUUUGCCUUGGUGCUCUGUUCUGCAUAAAUGCAACUAUGUAAUUUCAAAUUUUCAUCAAUUCAGUGUAAAUGUAAUUUUAUGAUUUUGAAUAAAUUUUAUGACCUUGAGACUGACUAUGACUAUGAUUUUGAAUCAAUUUUGUAAUUUUAUGAUUUCAAAUUUUCAUCAAUUUUAUGUAAUUUUGAAUAAAUUCUAUGACUCUAAUUGUGAUGUGCUA
Molecule: long non-coding RNA, 3209 nt
Organism: Hevea brasiliensis (rubber tree)
Lineage: Eukaryota; Viridiplantae; Streptophyta; Magnoliopsida; Malpighiales; Euphorbiaceae
Exons: 2
Source: RefSeq, a predicted model, not a curated record